CACGUACAUAGGACCAGAUAGUGUAGAAAAUCAUAAUUACACACCUGAAAGAUGCCACUCCCAAUCAUUGCUCUCCUCGGCUAAAUAUUGUUGAGGCAAAGAAUUAUUCAGCCUGGAAGUGACCAUGGCAGGUCUCAUGACCAAUCUUCUGCUGAAAUCACUGUCAAUGCUAAAGUCAGAUCAAGUUGAUCAGUUUAAACUAUUUCAUCACAGGAUCAGAAGAGCAGAAGAAAAAGGAAGAAACAUUCUGCUAGCUGUGAAAAUAAAAGCCAGAAUUGGUCACUUCUGACUAGGACUAAAGGCAGAACCACCUACUCAGCUGAAUGCUAGCACCCUGUUUUACAACCCACAGACACGGAUACCUGCAAAGAACAAGUCGUGUUGCUCCAAAAAAUAGAGAAAUUCAUCAUUAAUUUCAGGAAAUUUUAUUCUAAACCUAAUCUCCCGGAGGUUUAAUUUCAAGGAAAUUAAUAUUUGUUCUUGGAGGAAGAAGUAACAAAGAGCAUUUAAAAAAAAAAAAACCAAAAACACAACUAUGUCCAUAAGUAAAUACUUUGAGUAUGUUGAGUUUUAUGUAAAAGCAGUUCAUAGCCUACUGUCAACUUCUUGUCUUUUUUUUUCUCUGAUACAUCUACACUCUGCUAGCCACGCUAAAGUGGCUUAAUAAUUCAGUAAAUAAAUGCAUUCAUUAAUUAUUUAGAAUAGUACCAGAGUAAAAGAAGGAAGCCAGUGUUGUAUCAUAGCCCAUGAAUUUUCUGUUUUUCUAAAAAUUAUCACGAUAGUAUUGACAAGGAAAAUGGAGGAAUAUAUAUUACUGUGGUUUACAAAGUGAGAAAGUGAAUAGGGGCUGUUGUCUGCUCCUGGUGCUGCAGUUGCAGCUGAUUGAAUUUACCUCCUGUUGCUAUAAAUGACCUGACCUUAACAUUUCCACUGUAGCAUCACUCAUAGAAAUGUUAAUGACUUUUCAAUCUCACUUUUUUUAUGUCAGUGUUCUCCCUACAUUCAAGUCAAUGUCUAAGAAUAUAUUAUUAGUCAUAAACUGUAACAGCAGAUGAUCAAUGUUUAAUGUUUACACUACAGACACCUCAAAAUUCUUUAACACCUAACUACAUUUGUAUUAUCAGAUUACCACUGGAAGACUUUUGGACCAGAUUCCACAGCAGUAUAUAUUAUAGCAUUUAAUUCAGUGGCAUUUCAUUGAAAUGCUGAUUGAUAGGAAUUAAAAAUCCAACUCUUAAUGUCAGAGAAGUUACAUUGGAUAUGUGUGUGGUAAGAGUAGAGGGAUGAGGGAUGCCUUUCUGUCUUUUUUAGCAGACCUUAUCUGCUUUUCCAAGAUAGAUUACAGAAAAAAAAAUUGAUAGAAAAAAAAUUGUCUAGGUUUGAAUUAACCCAACAUUUGUGUUAGUUUCUUAUACUAUCAGGAGUUAUAGUCUCACUAUUAGCAGUAAAUAAGACUAUUUAUGUGACAAGUUACCCAGCACCACCCACUCUAAGUUAAGACUAAGCUGUACAUGCACUUUUACUGCACAUUCAUCAACAUAAAAAAAAAAUAACAUGAAUUUUACUCCAUAUCUUCAGUUUUAAUGUGAGAAAGUGACAGUGAUGACAUAGCAGAAAUUCUCAAUCCCAUAAAUAAGUGCCUAUGUUUCCUCGUUGUGUUCUUUUCUGGAUUUAUUAAGUGUGGUAUUCCCACAGCAGGAUUCAGAAAUAAGAUGAGAAAUCCAUUUUUCAUCCAGAAUUACUUGUCCCAUUGAAUAGGAGCAUCGUUCAUUUUAUGAUUUGAAUAGUAUUUAAAAAAUACCUAUCAGUUAUUUAAGCAUACUACUAAGAAACUGUAGUUUGAAUCAAGGUGUUAUUGCAGGUACUUUAUACAAACAGGGGAAAAACAACUCCUCUUGGCUAUCCUAAAAUCUGGUGAAAGACAAAAAGCACAAUCAGAUUCCACAGAAAUUGAAAAGAAGAAAAUGGAGCUAAUUUAGCAAUAACAGAAACACUGUCAGUAAAACAUUAUAUAGCCACAUGCACAAUGUCUGUGUUGCAGACUAAUAUUUAUUUUAUAAUUCUCUUCAUAAAUCAAACAAGCAUUAGGAAAGACUUAUUUGUUGUAAUGUGUGUAAAAACCUUAGUAGUCAUUUUUGCAAACCAUAUUAACAUCUUUGUUAUCUGAUAGGCUGGAGUAAUCAAU
Molecule: long non-coding RNA, 2185 nt
Filed under: Gallus gallus (chicken)
Lineage: Eukaryota; Metazoa; Chordata; Aves; Galliformes; Phasianidae
Description: lncRNA (ENSGALG00010007198.1)
Source: RNAcentral